CCUACGGGAGGCAGCAGUAAGGAAUAUUGGUCAAUGGACGCAAGUCUGAACCAGCCAUGCCGCGUGAAGGAUGAAGGUCCUUUGGAUUGUAAACUUCUUUUAUAUGGGACGAAACCCGGGCAUUCCUGCCCGAUUGACGGUACCAUAGGAAUAAGCACCGGCUAACUCCGUGCCAGCAGCCGCGGUAAUACGGAGGGUGCAAGCGUUAUCCGGAUUCACUGGGUUUAAAGGGUGCGUAGGAGGGUAGGUAAGUCAGUGGUGAAAUCUCCGGGCUCAACUCGGAAACUGCCGUUGAUACUAUCUGUCUUGAAUACCGUGGAGGUGAGCGGAAUAUGUCAUGUAGCGGUGAAAUGCUUAGAUAUGACAUAGAACACCGAUUGCGAAGGCAGCUCACUACACGAAUAUUGACUCUGAGGCACGAAAGCGUGGGGAUCAAACAGGAUUAGAUACCCUGGUAGUCCACGCCCUAAACUAUGGAUACUCGACAUACGCGAUACACUGUGUGUGUCUGAGCGAAAGCAUUAAGUAUCCCACCUGGGAAGUACGACCGCAAGGUUGAAACUCAAAGGAAAUUGACGGAC
Molecule: ribosomal RNA, 581 nt
Filed under: uncultured bacterium
Lineage: Bacteria
Description: bacterial SSU rRNA
Rfam family: Bacterial small subunit ribosomal RNA
Source: RNAcentral